CCCUCUGGAUCUCGUCUCCUUCACACAUCCCCCACCGACGGAGCUCCUUCUUCAGAGAAGAAGAGCCAUUUCAAUGGCUUCUCCUUAACCAAACCAACGACCCCUGCUCUCUUCUUCUAUCCUCACACCUUUCUGCUCUCACUCCUUCACUCACGUUUUUAGCACACACAUGCGCCUGAAACAAUACAAGCACUCAAAAUUGCUAGAUUUUGAAAAUGUGGAAAAAUAAAAUCCAAAGAGCUUCAAACGAAAGUUGAAAACUAAAAUUAAAAGGCCUGCUUUCAAUUUCUUCCGGUUUUGGAGUCAAUUUCCGGGUCUGUUGAAGGAACUUUGUUGGUGUUUGUUCGCUGUUGGGAGCUCAAAAUUCAUCUUCUAUUUUAGACCCUUGCUUGUUGUAAUCAGUUUAUUUUCGGCUAUUUAGAUCCAGGUGUUGGACCCACUUGUCAACUGUUGUGAUUUUGCUGUGAGUUGCUGAGAGACGAGGUAGAGCUGCAUUUCGACCACAGAUUGAAUUGAGUUGUUUGAAGAAUUUCUUGGAAGGUAUUA
Non-coding RNA from Nicotiana tabacum (common tobacco), 546 nucleotides. The record is from RefSeq and is a predicted model, not a curated record. NCBI's taxonomy places the organism in Eukaryota, Viridiplantae, Streptophyta, Magnoliopsida, Solanales, Solanaceae.